RNAcentral lists this long non-coding RNA (7935 nucleotides) under Zea mays. RNAcentral's name for it is "long non-coding RNA (ZMAY_LNC004541)". The record is from RNAcentral. Lineage: Eukaryota; Viridiplantae; Streptophyta; Magnoliopsida; Poales; Poaceae.
CUUGGCUGAUUAACUAGGAAAGCUAGUGGAGGGCUACCUUACCCGAAAGGGGCAAGGGCAGUAGGGGAGUGGUCAGUGUAGGGAGGUCCUUGUUUGAUUUUGCUGCGAUGGCGGUCAGGCAAGAACCCUGCACUGGAGCUUCCUAUAAACUGUAGCGGGUAGUCUGAAGCUAUUAGAACUUUGUAAAGGCCUCGUAGUGUUACCCUGCCUCGCCUCCUCGGUAGAGGUGUAUGGGAUUGGCCAUCUCUUGGCAGAUGGGUAACAUGACUUGUGGGUAAAGAUGCGCAACCUCUGCAGAGUGUAAAACUAGUAUACUAGUCGUGCUCACGGUCAUGAGCGGCUCGGACCCUCACAUGAUUAAUUAUGGAACUUAAAUUUAAUUUGACAUUUGCAUCGCAUUUGGGAUUAUUUUACUAUUACUGUUCUUUAUUAUUAUUAAGGUUUGGUAUUUACUUACACUUAGUAAUUGCUAAUAAAAUUUUGACCAACUUAUAAAAGCAAUGCUCAGCCUCAGCCUUUAUUUCAUUGAUCAGCCUUACACUACAUGAACUCCCACCUUUGGUGAGUUCAUGCCACAUUAUUCCCCACGACUUGUUGAGCUAUGAACGUAUGUGAGCUCACUCUUGCUGUCUCACACCCCCCCCACAUGAGAAGAACAGGUGGUUGAAGUGGAGCCGCCUAACACUGAGGAGUUCGAUCUGAUCUAGGUGGCGUUUCUCAGCCGACAUUGGCGCCGACGAUCCUUAGUUCGUUUUAUGGUUAUUCCUUUAUUUUGUAAUAAGUCUUCCGCUAUGUAAUAAAUACUCUGAUGUUUUAUGACAUUUAUCUCUAUACACUCUGUUAUUAUAUAUGUUGUCUUCUUGGCGCAUGUAUGAGAUGCACCCGGCUUUGUCCUUUAAAACCGGGUGUUACAGAAGUGGUAUCAGAGGAAAUGUUGACUGUAGGACGAAACCUAGAUAGAAAUGGACAAAACCCUUACCUACUUAGCUUAUUCUGAUUCAUUCUAUACUCGUCUCAUCUUGGUCUUGUCUCACCUUCUGCUGUUCUACUCUGAUCAUUCUUACCUUUUCUACUCUGAGACAAGAUGGACUUCACACCUUGGAAUCCUACCAUUAUGACCUUCUUAAGAGAUAGGGAACCUAAGACAAAAUCAAAACUAUUUUCUCUAUUUAAAAUGUUGGUUGAUUGUUAUGAUGAUAAAUGUCUGAUUUGCUUCUUUGAUUGAUUGAAACAUUAUAGUUGGGCAUCUUAGCAUGUACCACCAUAAGGUAAUGUAUUAGCUAUAGUAGGUGGAAUAUUAAUCUGCUUAGCUAAUAAAUCCCCCAAAAUAACCUGAUUUGUAAGUACCUGCCUUGGCUACUAUUCUCUUACCAUAUGUAUCUAACUCAGAUGGUCAAUACCAGGAAAGGAAAGAUUAUCACGCAACAGCAAACAGAAAUGAAUCCUCCAAAUCCUCCACCUGUUGAAACCGAUCAAGUGAUUGCAGCCCAAAGGCUGGUAAUACAACAAUUGACAGACAUGGUGACUGAAAUGCAAAACCAGAUAAGACAAGAACGCGAGGAAAUACGUCAGGCCCGUCUGGAGAUACAUCAAGAAAUAAGGCAAUCACGGUUGGAGAGACAACGACAACAACCACCAUCUCCACCACCACCAGCUCCACCAAGCUACAUAAACAUAUAUAUAAAUUACUACUAUUUGUAAGCUCUACAUGUUUCUUUAGUUAGUAUUCGGUAUGAUACUAUUUUAGGAGGAAUAAAAAGGUCUAUUUGACCCCAUGAGUUGCUAAUAAAAUUGUGCGUCAUGCUGAGAUUUUGGUUGUGCACAUGUGUUGGACAAUAUGAGAAAACCCAUGAGAGUAAUUACACCUAAAGGGCCUAUUGAGGCGAAUCAAAUGACUCGUAGAUUGACAUGGACCAUUAUGGGUAGAGAAUUUGGAGCUACUGCUAUAAUAUUAGAGGCAAGCAGUAUAGAUCUGAUCCUUGGUAUGUCAUGGCUAAGAAAGGCAAAGGCCGUUAUAGCAUGUGGUAGAAGUACCGUAGAACUCACUACCACUAAAGGAGAAAGAUUUCAAGUUAAUAUUGCAGUAACCUCCUCACCCAUGCGUGCAAUGUUCUUUACACCUGAGGAGUUUGUUGGUGACAACAUCCGGGUGGUUAGAGAUUUUCCGGAUGUCUUUCCAGAGGAGUUACCAGGGAUGCCACCUGAUAGAGAAGUUGAGUUUGUUAUUGAUCUCUUACCUGGAACCGCCCCUAUUUCUAAACGGCCAUAUAGGAUGUCCGUAGAGGAGUUGAAGGAACUUAAGAAGCAGUUAACUGAGUUACAAGAUGUUGGGUACAUUCGUCCGAGUUCCUCACCUUGGGGAGCACCGGUCUCGUUUGUACAGAAGAAGGAUGGAUCGCAGCGGAUGUGUGAGGAUUAUAGAUCUCUUAAUGAUGUUACAGUGAAGAACAAGUAUCUGUUGCCCCGUAUUGAGGAUUUAUUUGAUCAGAUGAGAGGUGCAAGAGUAUUUUCGAAGAUUGAUCUCCGAUCCGGUUACCAUCAGAUGAGGAUUAGACCAUCGGAUAUUCCCAAGACGGCUUUCUCGACUCGAUAUGGAUUAUAUGAGUUUACUGUUAUGUCGUUUGGAUUAACCAAUGCGCCAGCUUAUUUUAUGAACUUAAUGAACAAGGUGUUUAUGGAGUAUUUGGACAGAUUCGUCGUGGUAUUCAUCGACGAUAUUCUUAUCUAUUCUAAGAGUGAUAGUGAUCACGAGGAACAUCUAAGGAUGGUGCUACAGAAGCUACGAGAUAACCAGCUAUAUGCCAAGUUCAGCAAGUGCGAGUUUUGGAUUGGCGAGGUGCCAUUUCUUGGUCAUAUUAUUUCUAAUGGAGGAAUAGCAGUGGAUCCUGCUAAAGUGAAGGAGAUAAUGGAGUGGAGAGUGCCCACUACAGUUACUGAGAUUCGGAGUUUCUUGGGACUCGCAGGAUAUUAUUGGAGAUUUAUUGAAGGAUUUUCUAAGAUUGCUAAGCCUAUGACUUCGCUUCUGGAGAAGGGAAGAGAGUUCAAGUGAGAUGAGAAGUGCCAAGAUAGCUUUGAUCAAUUAAAGAAGAGGUUGAUGUCACCACAAGUGCUGGUUAUGCCAGAUCUACAGAAGGGAUUUGACAUUUAAUGUGAUGCAUGUGGCCAAGGACUUGGAUGUGUGCUCAUGCAGGAAGGACAUGUGAUUGCCUAUGCAUCUCGUCAGAUGCGGAAGCAUGAACUGAACUACCCCACUCAUGACUUGGAACUAGCAGCCGUUGUGCAUGCGCAUAAGAUUUGGAGACAUUAUAUUAUGGGAACCAAGUGUCAAGUAUAUACGGAUCAUAAGAGUUUGAAGUAUAUAUUCACUCAGAAGGAUCUCAACCUUAGGCAAUGCCGUUGGUUGGAGCUCAUUAAGGAUUAUGAUUUGGAGAUUCACUAUCACCCGGGCAAGGCAAAUUUGGUUGCAGAUGCCUUGAGUCGAAAGGAGCAUGUUCAUUCAGCUAUUGUUGCCUAGCUACCCGAUGAGAUUGUUGAGGAUUUCAGGAGACUUAACCUAGGGAUAGUUGCUCAUACUGAAGGAGUUACUAUUGAUGUGGAACCUACUUUGGAGCAAGAGAUCCGCAAGGGACAAAUUGGUGAUGCUAAGAUAUAAGAGAUUAAGGAUCUGAUUACUGAAGGUCGAGUUCCGGAGUUUACCGAAGAUGAGCAGGACACUGUAUGGUUCAAGGACAGGAUGUGUGUUCCUGAUAUUAAAAGCCUUCGAGAGACUAUUUUAAAGGAGGCCCAUGAUUCAGACUAUUCUAUUCAUCCUGGUAGCACCAAGAUGUAUCAGAAUUUGAAGCAGAAAUAUUGGUGGUACGGAUUAAAGAGGGAUGUGGCUGCACAUGUGGCUAUGUGCGAUGUGUGUCAAGGAGUUAAGGCUGAACAUCAGAGGCUAGCUGGACUACUACACCCAUUAAAGCUACCCGAGUGGAAGUGAGAAGAGAUUGGUAUGGAUUUAUUUACUGGAUUGCCUCACACCUCGAAAGGAUAUGAUUCUAUAUGGGUUAUUAUGGAUAGACUGACCAUAGUGGCUCAUUUCCUUCCGGUCAAGACUACUUAUAAGGGAUCUUAAGUGGCAGAGUUAUAUAUGGCUCGGAUUAUGUCUCGACACGGGGUGCCGAAGAAGAUCAUUUUGGAUAGAGGACCAUAGUUUACCCCCAAAUUUUUGGAAAAGUAUUCAUGAGAAUAUGGAUACGAAGUUGAAUUUUAGUUCGGCCUACCAUCGUCAGACUGAUGGAUAGACUGAAAGGACUAAUCAAGUAUUGGAGGACAUGUUGAGAAAUUGUACCCUUCAGCAUGGUAGUAGUUGGGACAAGAGUCUACCUUAUGCUGAGUUCUCAUAUAAUAACAGUUACCAGGCCAGUCUGAAGAUGUCACUGUUCGAGACUCUAUUUUGGACUAGACUCGAGGAAGGCAGUUCUUUGGGCCUGAAUUGAUUCAAGAAGCAGAAGAACAAGUUCGUAUAAUUCGAGAGAAUUUGAGGGUAGCUCAGACCAGACAAAAGAGCUACGCUGAUAAUAGAAGACCACUGGAAUUUGAGGAAGGUGAUCAUGUGUACCUCAAGAUGUCACCACUUCGUGGAAUGAGGAGAUUCAAAGUUAAUGGCAAAUGGUCCCCCUCACUUUAUUGUACCACUCUGAGUUUUUAGGCAAGUUGGAGAGAUGGCCUAUCAACUCGAGUUACCUGCUAGUCUAUCGGAUGUGCAUAAUGUAUUUCAUGUGACUCAACUUAAGAGGUGACUCCGUGUCCCUGAGAAAUAGUUACCAAUGGAAGAGCUCAGUGUUCAGGGUGAUUUGACUUACACGUAGUAUCCUAUCAAGAUUCUCGAUACACUGACUCGAGUUACAAGAAAUAAGGUGAUAAAGAUGUGCAAAGUCCAAUGGAGUCACCAUAGAGAAGAUGAAGCAACUUGGGAAAGAGAAGAAGAGCUUCGUAUAGAUUUUCCCCACCUUUUCCCUAGAUCUUCCUAAAUCUCGAGGACGAGAUUAAUUUUAAGGGGGGUAGGAUUUGUAAUACCCACUUUGUAAGAAAAGUCUAAAAAGAGAAAUUAUAUUACUUUGUAUCUAUAUGUGUUAACUAUGUUUAUCAUGUCAUGUGAACACCACAAUUAAACAAAUAAAUAGGUGACAAAAGACACUAAAAAUGAUACAUGCAUCAUGCUGGGAAUUUAUUUUGUGUGCAUUUUGUGACAACAGGAAAUAAUGUGAAAGGAAAUAUAUCAAAUUCUCUAAAGGGGAAUUCAAGAAUUUGAGCAGGAGAAGAAAGAAUACUAAACAAAGAUAAAUACAAUAAAUAUAAAGAAAUUAGUUAAACCUUCCUAUUUGAGUUCAACUUGUACAUUUAAAAAAAAGUGAAUAUAAGUUCACAGUUAAAAUUAAAUUCAAAUUUUAAAUUCUAGAAAUGUGGGGGAAAAGAAAAAGAUAAAGGAGAUGAAUAAGUAAAUGAUAUAUAUAAAUAAAUAUCUCCGGAGUUAAUGCCCUAAUUACACAAAUCUAAUUUGUAAGGAAGAGCAAUAGAAGGUUGAAUUAAUUUUGAAUUCAAACUGAAUUUGAAAAGGAAGAAAAGAAGGUGGAAAAUAUAAAAGAAAAAGAAUAAAUGGGGAAAAUUACUCGUGGGCCCUAAAAUGAGUUUCGGCCCAUUCAUCUGGCACUCACGCGCAGCCCGUUAUUGCCGCUCGGCUCAAUACCGCUUGCUGCUCACCGUAGUCACUGCUCCGUGGGCCCCUCUCCCUACCGCGCUCACCCGCACUCAGUUGAGGUAGCUAGCCGCCAUGUGGGCCCCUCUUGUCAUCCCGGUUGCCGCGACGGUAACAAUCCGCGCGAGUCGCACGGGAGUUUCUCCCUUUCUUGCGUUACCGUCGAAUUCGUCAGAAAUCUCGCCUCAACCCUGAGUUUAGUCGGUCGAGCUUGUCCCUGCGCCAGACUAUAAAGCUGCAGCCUGACCUAGAUGCUCCGCCGCCGCCUGCACUCCGCUGUUGCGCGCUCACUUCCCCUCCAUUCCCUUUCCGCAUCGCGCCUUGGCCGUGAACUUCACCCUCCUCCCUCAAGCCUUGUCACCGCUGGAUGAGCCACUAGUUCCCACCCGGGCCGCGUUGCAGCAACCUCCUUGUUGAAGCCCUGGAUGCCGUGUCGAGCGCCAUCGUCGCGAGUUGUGGAGGUAUCGCCGCCGCUGCUGCUCCACGGUCUGUCGUGGGCAAUAUACCUGCAGGCGCCAAACGGAGGUGAAAAUCACCCCCAAGCCUUCUGUUGUCUCGGUAAAUUGCGUACACGUAGUUUCGAAGGGGUCAGCGGGGAUUGGGGUUGGCAAUUUCUCGCCGCCGUGCGGCCGCCACCGCGGGGCCGCUCCGUACCGUAGGUGAGCUCCACGUGCACCCAUGACACCAGAAAAAUGUCCUUAGAUGAUUCGCUAGGUCCUCUGUUCCAUGUAUCUUGCACCAGGAGUAGGAAAUCAGGGCUCCGGUCUGUAAUCGGUAUUUCCCCGACCAUGCUCCGCCGUGGGGAGGAGAUUACACCGCCGUUGGGUGAACCGUGGAGAGCGAUGACCCUUCAGCCGUGGAUCUCCGUGUAGACGGUUGUGAUGGGGCGCGAGAGUGUUCCCCUUCGCACUUAGAAUCUGAUCCGUUGGCAGUUCAUCCGAGGGCUUGCGAGCGGUGAAAACGUGGUUGGAUCCGGGGCGUAGAUCUUAGAUCCUGGGGUUAGGGUUGCAUACCGGUUCGGUAUAAGUUAAAACUAAUCUGAGCGCUCCGUUUGAGAUCGGACGGUCUGGGGCGCACGAUACCCCUUCGCGACGCAUUUUUAUUAAAGAGCCCUUAUGUUUCCCCAAAAACAACCCGCAGUCCACGUAGUAGUAGUCUGUGUCUUAGGGUAUUUUGCGCCAGGGCCCCUGUGCUCUCUUGAAAAUGUGGCCCAGUCCAGAAAACUCGAAAAACAAAGAAAAUAAAUCAGAAAUGCAUUUUUAAUACAAAAAAUAAUUACUAGAACUUGUUUAAUUGGUAGAAAAUUCAUAUGAACUCCAAAUUGAACCAUUCCAGUUUCUAAACUUUUGUAAUAAUAUUCUCUAUCACCUAGUGUCUCUGUUUUGACAUGAAAACAGUAAGAAAAUUUAUUUAUCAUGUAAUCCUAUUUCAAGCACAUUAAAUCUUAGAAAAUUCAUAACUUAAAAUAUAUAACUCUAAAAAUUAUGAUUCUUGUUCCUAGGUUCUUAUUUUAAUGUGUAGAUUUUUAUUGUAUAUUUUAUUUACAUGUUUGAUGUGAUGUUAAUUUUUGCUAUACUAUGUAUGUAUUGUGUUGAUGCGAGUAGACGAGCAAGCCACUGUGGACUCUGAGGUUCAACAAGUAGAGAUAGCUGAGCAGGAGCUCAUUGAAGGCAAGUUGUGCCCUUGAUCACUUACUUUCCCCAGCCAUGUUCUUAUUAAUUUUAAUGAUCUGCAUAGGUUAAUUUUGAUGGGAUCCUUUAGGUUACCCCAGUUUUGGUUAUCUUUAUACCUUGUUCACCCCUGAAAUAUUUUUGGGUAGUACCUGCUAUUGCUUUAUGUGGAUUUGGGUAUGAAGAUACACUAUUCAUGAUUAUUCUGUUAUUAUCUUGUUAUUAUUACUGUUCAUGUUAAGAUCAUUAAAUUAAUGGGAACAUGGAGCGACCACCCGGGAAAACAGUGCUACCACAAGGGUUUAAUGGGACGCCCUUGGCUGAUUAACUAGGAAAGCUAGUGGAGGGCUACCUUACCCGAAAGGGGCAAGGGCAGUAGGGGAGUGGUCAGUGUAGGGAGGUCCUUGUUUGAUUUUGCUGCGAUGGCGGUCAGGCAAGAACCCUGCACUGGAGCUUCCUAUAAACUGUAGCGGGUAGUCUGAAGCUAGUGGAACUUUGUAAAGGCCUCGUAGUGUUACCCUGCCUCGC